This 2253-nucleotide ribosomal RNA is filed under the name human gut metagenome. Its description in RNAcentral is "bacterial LSU rRNA". It matches the Rfam family "Bacterial large subunit ribosomal RNA", at positions 1 to 2421 of the family's 2925-position model. The record is from RNAcentral.
UCAAGCGAUAGGUAAGGGCAUUUGGUGAAUGCCUUGGCAAUCAGAGGCGAAGAAGGACGUGGUACACUGCGAAAAGUCACGGGGAGUUGUGAACAAGCAUUGAUCCGUGAAUAUCCGAAUGGGGAAACCCACAGAGCAAUCUGUACUGCAAUAUGAAUACAUAGUAUUGCAGAGCGAACGCAGGGAACUGAAACAUCUAAGUACCUGUAGGAAAGGAAAUCAACCGAGACUCCGAAAGUAGUGGCGAGCGAAAUCGGACCAGCCGAUGGAUUAUGAUAUAAGAAUCAGAAUUACCUGGAAAGGUAAGCCGUAGAGGGUGAUAGCCCCGUAAGAGUAGAAAGUAUUAUAAUUCUUGAGUAAGGCGGAGCACGAGGAAUUCUGUCUGAAAAUGGGGAGACCACUCUCCAAGGCUAAGUACUACUGAUUGACCGAUAGUGAACAAGUACCGUGAGGGAAAGGUGAAAAGCACCCCUAUAAGGGGAGUGAAAUAGAACCUGAAACCGGAUGCCUACAAGCAGUCGGAGGGAGAAGACUCCUGACGGCGUACCUUUUGUAUAAUGGGUCAGCGACUUAAUUUAUGUAGCAAGCUUAAGCCGGUAGGUGUAGGCGAAGAGAAAUCGAGUGUUAAUAGCGCGUUAAGUUACAUGAAUUAGACCCGAAACCGAGUGAUCUAGCCAUGAUCAGGUUGAAGGUUGGGUAACACCAACUGGAGGACCGAACCCACUCCCGUUGAAAAGGUAGGGGAUGAAUUGUGGCUAGGGGUGAAAGGCCAAUCAAACUCGGAAAUAGCUGGUUCUCCGCGAAAACUAUUUAGGUAGUGCGGUGAGCGGACACCUUGAGGGGUAGAGCACUGGAAGAGCUAAGGGGGAGCGAUCCUUACUAAACUUUACCAAACUCCGAAUACUCAAGAGUGAUACUCACCAGACAGACAUUAGGUGCUAAGGUCUAGUGUCGAGAGGGAAAGAGCCCAGACCGCCAAUUAAGGUCCCAAAAUUAUGGCUAAGUGGUAAAGGAAGUGAAACGUCCAAAACAGUCAGGAGGUUGGCUUAGAAGCAGCCAUCCUUUAAAGAAAGCGUAAUAGCUCACUGAUCUAAAUAAGACGUCUUGCGCCGAAGAUGUAACGGGGCUAAAGCCAUAUACCGAAGUUGCGGAUUUACACGUUAAAGUGUAAGUGGUAGCGGAGCGUUCUGUAAGCCUGCGAAGGUGUACCGUAAGGUAUGCUGGAGGUAUCAGAAGUGAGAAUGCUGACAUGAGUAGCGAAAAGAAGAGUGAGAGACUCUUCCGCUGAAAGUCCAAGGUUUCCUGCGUAAAGCUAAUCUGCGCAGGGUUAGUCGGUCCCUAAGGCGAGGCAGAGAUGCGUAGUCGAUGGCAAUCAGGUUAAUAUUCCUGAACCGGCCCGGAAGUGACGGAUUGAGUAAAUUGUAAGUUCUUAUUGGAUUGAGCUUGCAGUGAAUCAGUCCCAGGAAAUAGCCCGGGCUAAGACCGUACCCGAAACCGACACAGGUGGACAGGUAGAGAAUACCAAAGCGCUUGAGAGAACUAUGUUGAAGGAACUAGGCAAAAUACUUGCGUAACUUCGGGAUAAGCAAGCCCCAUUUUAAGGCAACUUAGGGUGGGGGGCACAUACUAGGGGGUAGCGACUGUUUACUAAAAACACAGGGCUCUGCUAAAUUGAAAGAUGAAGUAUAGGGUCUGACGCCUGCCCGGUGCUGGAAGGUUAAGGAGAGAUGUGCAAGCAUUGAACUGAAGCCCCAGUAAACGGCGGCCGUAACUAUAACGGUCCUAAGGUAGCGAAAUUCCUUGUCGGGUAAGUUCCGACCUGCACGAAUGGCGUAACGACUUCCCCGCUGUCUCCAACAUAGGCUCAGCGAAAUUGAACUCUGAGUUAAGAUGCUCAGUACCCGCGGUUAGACGGAGAGACCCCGUGAACCUUUACUAUAGCUUUGCAGUGGUAUUAGGUAACAAAUGUGUAGAAUAGGUGGGAUGCUAUGAAGCUACGACGCCAGUUGUAGUGGAGCAGACUUUGAAAUACCACCCUUUUGUUGUUUGAUAUCUAACCUGCUCCCGUUAUCCGGGAGAGGGACCCUGCAUGGUGGGUAGUUUGACUGGGGCGGUCGCCUCCCAAAGAGUAACGGAGGCGCGCAAAGGUUGGCUCAGAUUGGUCAGAAAUCAAUCGUUGAGUGCAAUGGCAUAAGCCAGCCUGACUGCGAGAGCGACGGUUCGAGCAGAUACGAAAGUAGGUCAUAGUGAUCC